Molecule: ribosomal RNA, 374 nt
Filed under: uncultured organism
Description: partial 16S ribosomal RNA
Rfam family: Bacterial small subunit ribosomal RNA
Source: RNAcentral
GUAGGUGGCAAGCGUUGUCCGGAAUUAUUGGGGCGUAAAGCGCGCGCAGGCGGUUCUUUAAGUCUGAUGUGAAAGCCCACGGGCUCAACCGUGGAGGGUCAUUGGAAACUGGAGAACUUGAGUACAGAAGAGGAAGGCGGAAUUCCACGUGUAGCGGUGAAAUGCGUAGAGAUGUGGAGGAACACCAGUGGCGAAGGCGGCUUUCUGGUCUGUAACUGACGCUGAGGCGCGAAAGCGUGGGGAGCAAACAGGAUUAGAUACCCUGGUAGUCCACGCCGUAAACGAUGAGUGCUAAGUGUUAGGGGGUAUCCGCCCCUUAGUGCUGCAGCUAACGCAUUAAGCACUCCGCCUGGGGAGUACGGCCGCAAAGGCUG